This 469-nucleotide ribosomal RNA is filed under the name Haptophyta environmental samples. Its description in RNAcentral is "bacterial SSU rRNA". It matches the Rfam family "Eukaryotic small subunit ribosomal RNA", at positions 570 to 1011 of the family's 1831-position model. Lineage: Eukaryota; Haptophyta. The record is from RNAcentral.
GCAGCCGCGGUAAUUCCAGCUCCAAUAGCGUAUAUUAAAGUUGUUGCAGUUAAAAAGCUCGUAGUCGGACUUGAGCUCUUGGGAGUUUCAGGAGUGCGGGAAACCCCUGUAUUUCUUCUGAUUCACCCUUGAGCUAUUUUAAAAUUUCUGUUGGCAGCAUUUGCCCUUUACUGGGCGAGUGUGUUUUUCGUUGGCAGAGUUUUUACUGUGAAAAAAUCAGAGUGCUCAAAGCAGGUCGGCUUGUAGCUGCUGCAUGGAUUAGCAUGGGAUAAUGAAAUAAGACUUGGGUCUUAUGUUUGUUGGUUCUUCAAAGGCCUAGGUAAUGAUAAACAGGAGCAGUCAGGGACACUCGUAUUCCAGUGAGAGAGGUGAAAUUCUCAGACCACUGGAAGACGAACUAGUGCGAAAGCAUUUGCCAGGGAUGUUUUCAUUGAUCAAGAACGAAAGUUAGGGGAUCGAAGACGAUCAG